RNAcentral lists this ribosomal RNA (253 nucleotides) under uncultured bacterium. Its description in RNAcentral is "partial 16S ribosomal RNA". It matches the Rfam family "Bacterial small subunit ribosomal RNA", at positions 524 to 776 of the family's 1533-position model. The record is from RNAcentral.
UACGGGGGGAGCAAGCGUUGUUCGGAUUUACUGGGCGUAAAGGGCGCGUAGGCGGUGCGGUAAGUCUGCGGUGAAAUCUCCCGGCUCAACUGGGAGUCUGCCGUGGAAACUGCCGUGCUUGAGUGUGGGAGAGGUGAGUGGAAUUCCCGGUGUAGCGGUGAGAUGCGUAGAUAUCGGGAGGAACACCUGUGGCGAAAGCGGCUCACUGGACCACAACUGACGCUGAGGCGCGAAAGCUAGGGGAGCAAACAGG